UGGCUCAGAGGUUAAAGCAUCUGCCUCCAAUGCAGGAGAUCCAGGUUCGAUCCCUGG
This 57-nucleotide transfer RNA is filed under the name Ovis aries (sheep). It matches the Rfam family "tRNA", at positions 8 to 63 of the family's 71-position model. Rfam says of the family: Transfer RNA (tRNA) molecules are approximately 80 nucleotides in length. Lineage: Eukaryota; Metazoa; Chordata; Mammalia; Artiodactyla; Bovidae. The record is from Rfam by way of RNAcentral.